GAUGAAGACGCAGCGAAAUGCGAUACGUAAUGUGAAUUGCAGAAUUCAGUGAAUCAUCGAAUCUUUGAACGCAUAUUGCGCUCUCUGGUAUUCCGGAGAGCAUGCUUGUUUGAGUAUCAGUAAACACCUCAACUUCCAUAUCUUUUUUGAAAUGGGAGUUGGACUUGAGUGAUCCCAACGCUUUUCCUCACCGAAAAGUGGCGGGUUACUUGAAAUGCAGGUGCAGCUGGACUUUUCUCUGAGCUAUAAGCAUAUCUAUUUAGUCUGCCUAAAAAACAGAUUAUUACCUUUGCUGCAGCUAACAUAAAGGAGAUUAGUUCUUGUGCUGACUGAUGCAGGAUUCACAAAGACAGGCUUCGGCCGACUUUGUAAACUCGAUCUCAAAUCAAGUAAGACUACCCGCUGAACUUAAGCAUAUCAAUAAGCGGAGGA
This 432-nucleotide unclassified non-coding RNA is filed under the name soil metagenome. Its description in RNAcentral is "partial contains 5.8S ribosomal RNA, internal transcribed spacer 2, and large subunit ribosomal RNA". The stretch from base 1 to 119 matches the Rfam family "5.8S ribosomal RNA", at positions 35 to 154 of the family's 154-position model. The record is from RNAcentral.